UCCCUCAUUCUGUGGAUGAGUGAAUUGACAUUAGGAGUGUUAGAACAGUUUUACCAAGACCACACAGCUAGUGAAAAAUUGAACUGGGAUUCCAAACUGGGACCUGUGCAGGUAGCUGGAAUUCAUGGUGAAGAGCAUAGUGCCUGGGGUUGCCGCACUGGAUUUGGAGCAGAGGCAACGUAACUCUUGGAGUUUGUAGCUUCCUUGCCAUUGCCCACGCUUGCCUGGCAGGUUGGAGCUUGUGUGUGCACGUGAGCCAAGGGGCUGCUUUGGUGGUCACCAAAGCUGGGCAAAUGCCAGGGAGAGGUGGCCGGCCAUGCUUGCAACUGACAGUCCCACUGGCCAGCCGGGGUCCCCAUCCCUCCUGUGGCCCUUAUGAGGCUGGGGCA
This 389-nucleotide long non-coding RNA is filed under the name Mustela putorius furo (domestic ferret). RNAcentral describes it as "lncRNA (ENSMPUG00000031533.1)". Lineage: Eukaryota; Metazoa; Chordata; Mammalia; Carnivora; Mustelidae. The record is from RNAcentral.